GUGCGUGUAGCUCAGCUGGAUAGAGCGACUGGCUACGGACCAGUAGGUCGUGGGUUCGAACGUACAACGGAGC
RNAcentral lists this transfer RNA (73 nucleotides) under Firmicutes bacterium CAG:882. Its description in RNAcentral is "transfer RNA-Pseudo(ACG)". It matches the Rfam family "tRNA", at positions 1 to 59 of the family's 71-position model. From Rfam's summary of the family: Transfer RNA (tRNA) molecules are approximately 80 nucleotides in length. Lineage: Bacteria; Bacillati; Bacillota. The record is from RNAcentral.